Molecule: ribosomal RNA, 376 nt
Filed under: uncultured organism
Description: partial 16S ribosomal RNA
Rfam family: Bacterial small subunit ribosomal RNA
Source: RNAcentral
GUAGGUGGCAAGCGUUGUCCGGAAUUAUUGGGCGUAAAGCGCGCGCAGGCGGUUCUUUAAGUCUGAUGUGAAAGCCCACGGCUCAACCGUGGAGGGUCAUUGGAAACUGGAGAACUUGAGUACAGAAGAGGAAAGCGGAAUUCCACGUGUAGCGGUGAAAUGCGUAGAGAUGUGGAGGAACACCAGUGGCGAAGGCGGCUUUCUGGUCUGUAACUGACGCUGAGGCGCGAAAGCGUGGGGAGCAAACAGGGAUUAGAUACCCUGGUAGUCCACGCCGUAAACGAUGAGUGCUAAGUGUUAGGGGGGUUUCUGCCCCCCUUAGUGCUGCAGCUAACGCAUUAAGCACUCCGCCCUGCGGAGUACGGCCGCAAGGCUG